UACAUUUACAUAAAGAAAUUAGAUAACAUAAAUUAGAUUACAUAAAGAAUGUUUUAUUAGUCCAUUAGUACUGUUGAUAAAUUGAGGAACAUUUGUGUUGGACAAAAAGCAACUUACCACAUCAGUAACUAACUCAACAUGUGAAUGUAGUAUUGAGAACAUACAUCACUAAGGGAAUAUUUUUGAAUGUUACAGGGACAGAUGAGCAGACGCAUGUGCUUAUCCGGUGGAGAGCAGCUAAUGAAGCCCUCUUCACCGGAAAGCGAAAUGCUGCCAUCAAAGGCUUUGAAGCUUUUGUGGUGGAGCAGGGCCUGCAAGCCAAGGUCACGGCUUCAUUCAUUAAAAAAAAAUGGGAAAACUUGAAACAAAAAUAUAAAGAACUGAAAUGUCCAGCAACCGGCGUGAGCACUGAGGAUGGAGAGCCCACAGCAGCAUCAUGGAAGUGGUAUAGUGCCAUGGAUGAGGCAAUUGGGAGCAGACCCUCCAUCACACCACCUGCUCUCGUUGCCUCAUCUGGGCCAGAUGUUGCUGUGGCCUCUUCAUCCUCAGUGAUGGCAGCACCUGUGAGCAAAAAAAGAAAAGGGGAUCUCACCAAUCUGAUGAGGGAGAUGGAGGAACGGGAAGCGGAGAGAGAGCGGGAAGCAUCGGAGAGGGAGGAAAGAAGAUGGCGAGAAAUGGAGGAGAAGGAAGACCGGAGGGAACGAGAGAGACAGGAGAGAGAGGAGAGACGAGAAAGAGAAGCAAGAGAAAGAGAAGAGCGAUGGCGGCAGGAAACAAGUGAGAGAGAGGAAAGGAGAGACGGAGGCAAAGGAAAGGGAGGAAAGAUUCCUUCGCCUCCUUGAGGCUCUCACAAAAAAAUGAAUUAAAUAAAUUGUAAAAUAAAAGCAUGUUCUGAUCAUUUACACAUCUGGUUUACAUAAAGAACAAACAUUUUAAAAUAGAUUUUAUCUAUCUAUCUAUCUAUCGAUAUGCAUACAGUACUGUGCAAAAAUCAUUUGCCACUACUUGCUUUGUUGUUUUAGCAAUGCUUUAAUGACCAUCCAUAUUUAUUUUCUAGUCUCUUUUAUUAAGAUAAAAAGAUUCAGAUUUUUAAAAAUGGUUUUAUGUAUCUCCUUUAUUUUCUAUAAAGGAGAUACAUAAAACCAUUUUUAAAAAUCUGAUCGAAAUGGCUCCUAUAGGCAAAUAAAUAUAUAUAUAUAUUGUGUAAUCAUCUGGACGCCUUGCAGUUUUUCAAAUAAACUCUCAAGAAGUUCCGUCUUUUGCUCAAAAUAAAGGAGGUCACACCAAAUACAUGCCACUUUAGCCUAUAGAAUAUGUUUUUUAUUUAUUUAUUUUUUGCAGAUUUUUAACAUGGCAUACAAAUUUCAUGUAUGUAUGUAUAUAUAUAUAUAUAUAUAUAUAUAAAAUGGCAUUGCUAAAACAACAUCAAAUGGUGGCCUAAGACUUUUGCCCGAUAUGAUGCAUAUAAAACAAUUUCUAGACAUUCAAAGUACAUUGUGGAUUUAUAGACAUUU
Long non-coding RNA from Labeo rohita (rohu), 1514 nucleotides. RefSeq lists it as uncharacterized. The transcript is spliced from 3 exons. The record is from RefSeq and is a predicted model, not a curated record. Lineage: Eukaryota; Metazoa; Chordata; Actinopteri; Cypriniformes; Cyprinidae.